This 1296-nucleotide long non-coding RNA is filed under the name Arabidopsis lyrata. RNAcentral describes it as "long non-coding RNA (ALYR_LNC001013)". The record is from RNAcentral. Lineage: Eukaryota; Viridiplantae; Streptophyta; Magnoliopsida; Brassicales; Brassicaceae.
AACUUACAUUGAGAGCCAAUGACUACCAAAACAUUACAUCUUCUUCUUCUACUUAUACAAGUGAAGAAAAAAUGGAUAUACAUAAGAGAAUAGUUUUUUUUUUAUUUAAAGGUCUUUGACUUAAUUCUGUUCUACAAUCUCCAAACGAUUUGAGAUUAAUCUUUCUUCUACCAUAAUUUCCCCACUUUUAGAACUGUUGAGCAUGUCUUCCGUAUCUUAAUUUUUAAACAUGUCUGAAUAUUAUUCCCCAAUCAACUAAUAAUUAGUUCAAUAGUUUAUUGUAUAAUAUUAUUGAGAGAACCGAAGAUCGACCGAGAUCGAUGGUCGAUAUAAUUGACCAAAAAUAUUAAAAUCAUGAAGAUCGAGAAGGAUUUAGAAGAUUAUCAUAUCGUUAGUUUAGAAAUAUUUACAUAAUAUUUAUCUCCAUAUAUAUCGAUGUAUCUUUGAACAUUAAUUUUAUGAGAGUCUAUUAUAAUUCUUGCUAGACACCUUUGUGUUAUUUACUCUCAUCAAAUUUAUCAAAUAUCUAUAUAUGACUGUCAAAUUCUUCAGAUUUCUUAAGAAUGUAACUAAACCUAGGCAAAGGCAUUACAAAAAAAAGUAUUAUAAUACCAUCAUUUACUUAUGUUUAUUUUUUGUACGAGUUAUUCUUUUUACACAUAUUAAUGAAAAAUUGAUUAAUCAUUUAUUCUUAUUAUCAGGUAUAACAAUGCAUAUAAAAUCUGGACCAUCUCUACCAUGUGGAGCUCCCCCCUCUGCGGCGAAGGCAAAAUGUCGACUAAUUCGGCACCCUCAUCAGCAUCCUCCCACCCCUCCUUCUCAUCCUCCCCCUCAUCGACAUUUCAACAAGAAGUUGAAAUACUAAUGUUUUAAGCCAGCGAAAGACAAAUACUAGGAAAGAAACUUCGCAGUAGUUUGAAAAAAUUACGAGAAUCUACACUUGUGAACUUGAUGGACUUGCUUUUGCUUCUCUAGUGUUAAUAUUUAUUAGAUAGUGAUUAGAGCUCUCGUCAAGUGGCUCAUUAUUUCAUUAAGAAGAAAAAAAAAACACUAAAUUUAGAGUUGUUUGAAACUUUUUCGUCUAGAUUUUUUAUGCAUAUUAAAAAGAAAAGUUACAUUUUUUUGAAGGAGGUUAAUUCUAUCUUAAAUUCACAGCUACUAACCAAUGAAACGAGUCACUAGCUAUCGUUCUGAGUAUUUUUUAUGUUCUCCCUCGUAAUUUGUAUUGAUGCUUACGGUGCAUUUUUUAUUUUAUGAUUUAUCAUUUUGCAAGCUUAAUAAAUCUGGAAUUAUGCC